ACCCAGCUGGCUCAGUCGGUAGAGCGAGUGAUUCCUGAUCCCAGGGUCGUGACUUCAAGCCCCACGUUGGGCA
RNAcentral lists this transfer RNA (73 nucleotides) under Mustela putorius furo (domestic ferret). It matches the Rfam family "tRNA". From Rfam's summary of the family: Transfer RNA (tRNA) molecules are approximately 80 nucleotides in length. Their secondary structure includes four short double-helical elements and three loops (D, anti-codon, and T loops). The record is from Rfam by way of RNAcentral. Lineage: Eukaryota; Metazoa; Chordata; Mammalia; Carnivora; Mustelidae.